UUCCUGGUGGCUCAGACAGUAGAGAAUCUGCCUGCAGUGCAGGAGACCCAGGUUUGAUCCCUGGGUUGGGAA
RNAcentral lists this transfer RNA (72 nucleotides) under Bos taurus (domestic cattle). It matches the Rfam family "tRNA". From Rfam's summary of the family: Transfer RNA (tRNA) molecules are approximately 80 nucleotides in length. Their secondary structure includes four short double-helical elements and three loops (D, anti-codon, and T loops). RNAcentral also lists the same sequence under 5 other names. Lineage: Eukaryota; Metazoa; Chordata; Mammalia; Artiodactyla; Bovidae. The record is from Rfam by way of RNAcentral.